Regulatory RNA element from Eubacterium sp., 100 nucleotides. It matches the Rfam family "Pyrrolysine insertion sequence mtbB". NCBI's taxonomy places the organism in Bacteria, Bacillati, Bacillota, Clostridia, Eubacteriales, Eubacteriaceae. The record is from Rfam.
UAGGUAGGCGUAGGUGACCCUAUAGGGGCAGAAGCUACACAUUCUAUCUGUGCUGGUAUGGGUGGUGUGCGUACUGCCGGAGAUCUGGUUUUGCGCAUGG